This 574-nucleotide ribosomal RNA is filed under the name Saccharomyces cerevisiae (brewer's yeast). RNAcentral describes it as "partial large subunit ribosomal RNA". It matches the Rfam family "Eukaryotic large subunit ribosomal RNA", at positions 80 to 669 of the family's 3401-position model. The record is from RNAcentral. Lineage: Eukaryota; Fungi; Ascomycota; Saccharomycetes; Saccharomycetales; Saccharomycetaceae.
UUAGUACGGCGAGUGAAGCGGCAAAAGCUCAAAUUUGAAAUCUGGUACCUUCGGUGCCCGAGUUGUAAUUUGGAGAGGGCAACUUUGGGGCCGUUCCUUGUCUAUGUUCCUUGGAACAGGACGUCAUAGAGGGUGAGAAUCCCGUGUGGCGAGGAGUGCGGUUCUUUGUAAAGUGCCUUCGAAGAGUCGAGUUGUUUGGGAAUGCAGCUCUAAGUGGGUGGUAAAUUCCAUCUAAAGCUAAAUAUUGGCGAGAGACCGAUAGCGAACAAGUACAGUGAUGGAAAGAUGAAAAGAACUUUGAAAAGAGAGUGAAAAAGUACGUGAAAUUGUUGAAAGGGAAGGGCAUUUGAUCAGACAUGGUGUUUUGUGCCCUCUGCUCCUUGUGGGUAGGGGAAUCUCGCAUUUCACUGGGCCAGCAUCAGUUUUGGUGGCAGGAUAAAUCCAUAGGAAUGUAGCUUGCCUCGGUAAGUAUUAUAGCCUGUGGGAAUACUGCCAGCUGGGACUGAGGACUGCGACGUAAGUCAAGGAUGCUGGCAUAAUGGUUAUAUGCCGCCCGUCUUGAAACACGGACACA